GAUGGUCGCUGCCGCCAACCGGCGGUGGAGGAAAGUCCGGGCUCCGCAGGACAGGAUGCCAGGUAACGCCUGGGGGGCGUGAGCCCACGGAAAGUGCCACAGAAAAGAUACCGCCCCGGAAGGGGUAAGGGUGAAAAGGUGCGGUAAGAGCGCACCGCGCCGGCCAACGCCGGUGGCAGGGUAAACCCCAUCCGGAGCAAGACCAAAUAGGGAAACAGCCGCUUCGCGGGACGUGUGGUCCGCACGGGUUUCCGGGUAGGUCGCUUCAG
Molecule: ribozyme, 269 nt
Filed under: Symbiodinium sp. clade D
Lineage: Eukaryota; Dinophyceae; Suessiales; Symbiodiniaceae
Description: partial Bacterial RNase P class A
Rfam family: Bacterial RNase P class A
About the family: Ribonuclease P (RNase P) is a ubiquitous endoribonuclease, found in archaea, bacteria and eukarya as well as chloroplasts and mitochondria. Its best characterised activity is the generation of mature 5'-ends of tRNAs by cleaving the 5'-leader elements of precursor-tRNAs.
Source: RNAcentral